This 343-nucleotide unclassified non-coding RNA is filed under the name fungal sp. RNAcentral describes it as "partial internal transcribed spacer region". The stretch from base 1 to 46 matches the Rfam family "Eukaryotic small subunit ribosomal RNA", at positions 1786 to 1831 of the family's 1831-position model. Lineage: Eukaryota; Fungi. The record is from RNAcentral.
AAGUCGUAACAAGGUUUCCGUAGGUGAACCUGCGGAAGGAUCAUUAUUACGUUAUCCAACGUCAAACCCAAUUGUGAAACUGUGACCAGAAUGUUAAAGGAUUGAGGACAAGGUGUUCAUGACUCUAAGUGCCUUCACGGGUGCUAGGGCCUUGUCUUACCUGAUUGAGUUCAGGUCAACUUUUAACUUCUGUUUAAAUGAAAUUCCUGUCAUGAACAAUUUUAAUUUUCAAUUUACAAACCCCAAGUACAAAAUUGAACUAAACAUUCUGUCUCAGACUUUGUCUGUGACUGAACAACCGAAAUUAAGAAAACAACUCUUAACAACGGAUAUCUUGGUUCUC